GGAUUGAACGCUGGCGGCAUGCCUAACACAUGCAAGUCGAACGGGAGUAGCAAUACUCUAGUGGCGGACGGGUGAGGAAUACGUAGGAAUUUGCCCUUAAGUGGGGGAUAACCCGGGGAAACCCGGAUUAAUACCGCAUGACCUCGAAAGAGCAAAGUGGGGGAUCGCAAGACCUCACGCUUUUGGAGAAGCCUACGUCGGAUUAGCUAGUUGGUGAGGUAAUGGCUCACCAAGGCGACGAUCCGUAACUGGUCUGAGAGGAUGAUCAGUCACACCGGAACUGAGACACGGUCCGGACUCCUACGGGAGGCAGCAGGUGGGGAAUAUGGACAAGUGGGCGCAAGCCUGAUCCAGCAAUGCCGCGUGUGUAGAAGAAGGUCCUUACGGGUUAGUAAGCUACGUUUAACGGUACGGGAAAGAAAAACGUCGUACUACUAAC
This 439-nucleotide ribosomal RNA is filed under the name uncultured soil bacterium. RNAcentral's name for it is "bacterial SSU rRNA". It matches the Rfam family "Bacterial small subunit ribosomal RNA", at positions 27 to 473 of the family's 1533-position model. The record is from RNAcentral.